GCCCUAUUGCCCCAAGUGGGUAAAAAUUUGUGGGAUAAGGAGAAAUUCUCCAGGCGUAGUCACCGCCUCAGCAGCCCUGGUAAUACUUGGCCACCUAGAGGCUGCAUGGCUCAACUCCCAUUGAACUAACAGAAAGCUUCAAGGUCAGGGCUAUAGAAAGGAGUUCUGCUCAGACAAUGAAGGGCAUCUGUAGGGCAUUCUCAGAUAUCUCCUAAACCCCUUAAAACUCUGCAACGACGCGCAAUACUCACCUGACCCUCUAGGCUUUCAGGAGGGAUCAGUUGUCAGACAAAUACUCUGUCAACCUGGAAGACAGUCUUAUAAAGAGUCCUCAUGAGUUCCCCCUUGGUGUAGUCUUCUGCUGGACUCUGAGGAUCAUUGCCUUUCCAGAGCAUAGCUGGGAUUUUCUCCAUCACAAGGGGUCCCAAUCCAUGAAGUUGCCACCAUCCUCAGGAAGGAUUUCCCAAACGUAUACACCUACCUGGGUGCUCCCCUCUUGGAAUACUCAUUCAUCUAAAAUCAGGAAAGAACAAAUGCAAAAGAAAGAGAGAUGUCAUAUACUUAUGCACAAGGAGCCUCAAUCAGGGUAGCCCUUUCUCACUCAAAGCCACCAAAGAAGAGACAGAUGGCCGAAGCUAAGGCUGAGAAGUCAAAUGAUUUGCCUGAGGUCGUCACCCAGCU
Molecule: long non-coding RNA, 681 nt
Filed under: Phascolarctos cinereus (koala)
Lineage: Eukaryota; Metazoa; Chordata; Mammalia; Diprotodontia; Phascolarctidae
Description: lncRNA (ENSPCIG00000021966.2)
Source: RNAcentral